RNAcentral lists this long non-coding RNA (2032 nucleotides) under Coffea arabica (coffee). Its description in RNAcentral is "long non-coding RNA (CARA_LNC007713)". Lineage: Eukaryota; Viridiplantae; Streptophyta; Magnoliopsida; Gentianales; Rubiaceae. The record is from RNAcentral.
UUUCAUCUUGGGUUUUGAUUGAUUUGGAGAGAAAUCAACAAGAACCACAAAUCUAAUCUGAACAAAGGUGCAACAAGGUGACAAGGAAGAUUGAGGUGGAGUGAUUUUGCAUAGGCAGCCUUGGUUUUGUGUUUUUUCUUGAGGUUUGAAGGUAUUAAACUAAGAAACUCUUCUUCCCUUUCUUAUAUUGCAUUUUAUUGGAUAGAUGACUUGAAUAUGGAAAUUUUAUGGAAGAUAUCAUGAAAUUGUGAAGUCGUUAGAAUUUUCCAGCAUUUGGUAGUGAAUCUGUUCUGUUUUUGGACCCAACUGGAACUGCAUAUUCGUCCAUGAUAAAGGCCGAAUCAGGUCUUGUUCAAAAUAUGAAAGUUGUAGGAAAUGGAGGUAACUGUCUGCCUACAAAAUUUCAACUCAAUCAGAGCACUGUAUAGUGUGAAAUGACUAAAAUACCCCUGACUGGCAAAUGCCCUAUUUCGCGGGCAGCUUUCUAUUUUUUCUGAGAUUUCACAUUUUGACCUUGAAAAUGCACGAACCGGGUAUUGAUGUCUUCAUGAAAAUGUAGAUCUCUGCCUUAGCUUCGAAACGCCAUAAAAUUUACCCGAAUCCGAUAAGUGUAACUUCAGUUGUGACUAAAACGCUGAGAGAUGUCAAACCUGCUGCUUAGGCAUUCUUCUUUAAUACUAGUUUUCAUCUUUGGUUUUGAUGGUUUUAUUGUUAGAAUUGACUUGUAAUUAGAUGAUAUUGAGCCUAGUUGAAGAGCUAUCUUGUUAAGCUUGCUUAUAUGUUGAAGUUGGGCUGAGUUGAGGAAAGAAAUGAAGCCCUAAGUGGCUGGAAAAUAGUUAAAUACAAAGGGCAUGCUGCCCAAAUUUCUAUUACUUGCCCUUAUGAAUAUUAGUAAGAUGUAAGAUUUGAUUUUAGGGUUAGUUGAAUCUUAAAUUACAUUUGCUCACUUCAAUUUGGGAUUGGUUAUUCUUAGGGUUUGUCGGUGAUCAAGGGCAUAAUCCGGAAGGAAAUUUUUGACGUUAUUUUGGCUUAGACUGGUGAGUGUUCUUCGUAUGUUGUGCUUCUAAUGCCUAUGUAGAUUGUUGUGAAUGUUUGCUUGAAUGUUAAAUGUUUUCAAUGAUUGUUAAAUGAAUUUUUUACAGGCGAGUGUGUACUUUAUCGCACUCGACCUAAGUUAACGUGAAAUUUUUAAUGAUUAAAUGAUUGAAUGCUACUUGUGCAUGAAUGUAAGUCUCUUGGCUGAACUGGGCCCUUGCCCUUCGUUGCCAGCCGACUCGAGCCAGAAGCGGACUCGGUCGGGCGGUUGGUGACCCUGGGACAGUGUUUUGGUAUACUCGAGUAUGGCCACGAAGAUUGGUGGAGACUGGCCAGUGAAUUGGCUAAUGGCGGGAAAUGAAUAAAUGAAUGAAUGUCAAGAACAUUGGAGGAGUUUUCACUUGCAAAUGUUUUCUAAUGUUGGAGGAAUAAGGAAAAUGGUUGGCGAACGAAUGAACGAAUGGCUCCUCGUGAGCAUGUAUCCUCUUAAUGAGUGGGUUAUUAUUGCUUUUAUAUGUAAAAUGUUUUCUGGAUUAUUUGCUAUUAAAUGAUUAAUGUCCUGGAUUUAAUUGCUCGAUUAUGUGUAUGAAAUCUCACUGGACUUUUAACUCAUUUCUUUAGUUUUGUCUUCCUUACAGGGGAUACGAGCGAGGCGUGAGACUUGUACAGGCUAGCGUAGUCUAGUUUUUUGUAUUUUGAAAUUUCACUAGCGCUAGUGCUUUACUAGGGUUGGUUGCACCUGGAUUGUAAACACCUUGAUAUAUUUGGGUGUGUAUAAGCCUUGUAGCUGGAUUUGAGCAUCAGUGUAUAUGUUAAGCUUGGAAUCGUUGUUUUAUUUCUUUUCUAUGGUUGUAAGUUCUUUUCUCGAGUUAAACGUGAGUGAGUCCUGACGAGAGUUGGGCAGGCGACUCACUAAACCCUAGGAUACGCCCUAGGGGGAGGUGGGGUCAUCACAAAAGACCAUAAUUUUGAUUACUUGCACACUACAAUGUGUCUU